This 506-nucleotide ribosomal RNA is filed under the name uncultured bacterium. RNAcentral describes it as "partial 16S ribosomal RNA". The record is from RNAcentral.
GGAGUUAGCCGGUGCUUCUUCUGUGAGUGAUGUCCUUCCUGCCGGCUAUUAACCCGCAGGCCUUCUUCCUCACUGAAAGUGCUUUACAACCCGAAGGCCUUCUUCACACACGCGGCAUGGCUGGAUCAGGGUUGCCCCCAUUGUCCAAUAUUCCCCACUGCUGCCUCCCGUAGGAGUCUGGGCCGUGUCUCAGUCCCAGUGUGGCUGAUCAUCCUCUCAGACCAGCUACGGAUCGUCGCCUUGGUGAGCCGUUACCUCACCAACCAGCUAAUCCGACAUAGGCUCAUCCGAUAGCGCGAGGCCCGAAGGUCCCCCGCUUUCCCCCGUAGGGCGUAUGCGGUAUUAGCCUGGGUUUCCCCAGGUUAUCCCCCACUACCGGGCAGAUUCCUAUGCAUUACUCACCCGUCCGCCGCUCGCCACCAGGGAGCAAGCUCCCCGUGCUGCCGCUCGACUUGCAUGUGUUAGGCCUGCCGCCACGCGUCAUCUGAGCAUGAUACAACUACUGA